UACGGAGGGUGCAAGCGUUAUCCGGAUUUACUGGGUUUAAAGGGUGCGUAGGUGGGUUGGGUAGUCAGUGGUGAAAUACUUUCGCUUAACGAAGGAACUGCCAUUGGUACUCCCAAUCUUGAAUACAGUGGAGGUGGGCGGAAUGCGUCAUGUAGUGGUGAAAUACUUAGAUAUGACGCAGAACACCUAUUGCGAAGGCAGCUCGCUACACUGUCAUUGACACUGAGGCACGAAAGCGUGGGGAUCAAACAGG
RNAcentral lists this ribosomal RNA (253 nucleotides) under uncultured bacterium. Its description in RNAcentral is "partial 16S ribosomal RNA". It matches the Rfam family "Bacterial small subunit ribosomal RNA", at positions 524 to 776 of the family's 1533-position model. The record is from RNAcentral.